Molecule: ribosomal RNA, 443 nt
Filed under: uncultured bacterium
Lineage: Bacteria
Description: partial 16S ribosomal RNA
Rfam family: Bacterial small subunit ribosomal RNA
Source: RNAcentral
CCUACGGGGGGCUGCAGUCGAGAAUUUUUCACAAUGGGGGAAACCCUGAUGGAGCGACGCCGCGUGGAGGACGAAGGCCCUCGGGUUGUAAACUCCUGUCAUGCGGGAACAAGAAAGUGAUAGUACCGCAAGAGGAAGAGACGGCUAACUCUGUGCCAGCAGCCGCGGUAAUACAGAGGUCUCAAGCGUUGUUCGGAUUCAUUGGGCGUAAAGGGUGCGUAGGUGGCGAAGUAAGUCUGGGGUGAAAUCUCGGGGCUCAACCUCGAAAUUGCAUUGGAUACUGCAUCGCUAGAGGAUUGUAGAGGAGAGUGGAAUUCACGGUGUAGCAGUGAAAUGCGUAGAUAUCGUGAGGAAGACCAGUUGCGAAGGCGACUCUCUGGGCAAUUCCUGACACUGAGGCACGAAGGCCAGGGGAGCAAACGGGAUUAGAUACCCUAGUAGUC